This 272-nucleotide ribosomal RNA is filed under the name uncultured bacterium. Its description in RNAcentral is "partial 16S ribosomal RNA". It matches the Rfam family "Bacterial small subunit ribosomal RNA", at positions 524 to 794 of the family's 1533-position model. The record is from RNAcentral.
GACGAAGGUGGCGAGCGUUGUUCGGAAUCACUGGGCAUAAAGCGCACGUAGGCGGUGGCGUAAGUCGGGUGUGAAAUCCCUCGGCCUAACCGAGGAACUGCGCCCGAUACUGCGUUGCUUGAGGACCACAGGGGUGCAUGGAAUUUCCGGUGGAGCGGUGAAAUGCGUUGAUAUCGGAAGGAACUCCGGCGGCGAAAGCGGUGCACUGGGUGGUUUCUGACGCUGAGGUGCGAAAGCUAGGGGAGCAAACGGGAAUUAGAAACCCGGGUAGU